This 275-nucleotide long non-coding RNA is filed under the name Elaeis guineensis (African oil palm). RNAcentral's name for it is "long non-coding RNA (EGUI_LNC070150)". The record is from RNAcentral. Lineage: Eukaryota; Viridiplantae; Streptophyta; Magnoliopsida; Arecales; Arecaceae.
AAGAAAUUACUAAUAGAUUUGAUCCUAUAAUUUUUGAUUUAUGCGAAUAGUUUAUAAAAUUAUUAUAUGAAUAAAUAUUAUAGCAUCUUAAUUGAAUUAGUCAAUAUGCUGGUAACUAAGGGAUCUUAAAAAGUUCAGAGGUACAUACCUGAAGAACCUAAAAAAAUAUUGACAUGCUUUUGGAAGGUAUGUCGAAUUGGUCAAAAUUAAUCUUAUGCUUUUCUAUUUUUUAUUAGAUUCUAGUACAUAUUAUGCACUUUAAUAUAAGGUCUAAG